This 465-nucleotide ribosomal RNA is filed under the name Vreelandella stevensii. Its description in RNAcentral is "partial 16S ribosomal RNA". It matches the Rfam family "Bacterial small subunit ribosomal RNA", at positions 338 to 795 of the family's 1533-position model. Lineage: Bacteria; Pseudomonadati; Pseudomonadota; Gammaproteobacteria; Oceanospirillales; Halomonadaceae. The record is from RNAcentral.
CCUACGGGAGGCUGCAGUGGGGAAUAUUGGACAAUGGGGGGAACCCUGAUCCAGCCAUGCCGCGUGUGUGAAGAAGGCCCUCGGGUUGUAAAGCACUUUCAGUGAGGAAGAACGCCUGGUGGUUAAUACCCAUCAGGAAAGACAUCACUCACAGAAGAAGCACCGGCUAACUCCGUGCCAGCAGCCGCGGUAAUACGGAGGGUGCGAGCGUUAAUCGGAAUUACUGGGCGUAAAGCGCGCGUAGGUGGCUUGAUAAGCCGGUUGUGAAAGCCCCGGGCUCAACCUGGGAACGGCAUCCGGAACUGUCAAGCUAGAGUGCAGGAGAGGAAGGUAGAAUUCCCGGUGUAGCGGUGAAAGGCGUAGAGAUCGGGAGGAAUACCAGUGGCGAAGGCGGCCUUCUGGACUGACACUGACACUGAGGUGCGAAAGCGUGGGUAGCAAACAGGAUUAGAUACCCUUGUAGUC